UAGGGAAUAUUAGAAAUGGACGAAAGUCUGAUCUAGCAACACCGCGUGUGCGAAGAAGGCCUUCGGGUUGUAAAGCACUUUUUGGAAGGAUUAGGAAGGAAUGUACUUCCAGAACAAGUCUCGGCUACCUACGUGCCAGCAGCCGCGGUAACACGUAGGAGGCAAACGUUAUCCGGAUUUACUGGGCGUAAAGCGCGUGUAGGUGGUUCUGUAAGUAGGGCGUGAAAGCUCCUGGCUCAACUGGGAGAGGCCGUUCUAAACUGCAGAGCUAGAGGAUGGGAGAGGGAGGUUGAAUUCCGGGUGUAGCGGUGGAAUGCGCAGAUAUCCGGAGGAACACCAGUGGCGAAAGCGGCCUCCUGGACCAUUCCUGACACUCAGACGCGAAAGCUAGGGUAGCAAACG
Molecule: ribosomal RNA, 402 nt
Filed under: uncultured prokaryote
Description: bacterial SSU rRNA
Rfam family: Bacterial small subunit ribosomal RNA
Source: RNAcentral